RNAcentral lists this ribosomal RNA (499 nucleotides) under uncultured bacterium. RNAcentral's name for it is "partial 16S ribosomal RNA". It matches the Rfam family "Bacterial small subunit ribosomal RNA", at positions 28 to 507 of the family's 1533-position model. The record is from RNAcentral.
GACGAACGCUGGCGGCGUGCCUAAUACAUGCAAGUCGAGCGAAGUUUUUCUGGUGCUUGCACCGGAAAAACUUAGCGGCGAACGGGUGAGUAACACGUAAAGACCCUCCCUCAUAGACUGGGACAACUAUUGGAAACGAUAGCUAAUACCGGAUAAUAGCAUUAACUGCAUGGUUGAUGUUUAAAAGUUGGUUUUACUAACACUAUGAGAUGGCUUUGCUGUGCAUUAGCUAGUUGGUGGGGUAAAGGCCUACCAAGGCGACGAUGCAUAGCCGACCUGAGAGGGUGAUCGGCCACACUGGGACUGAGACACGGCCCAGACUCCUACGGGAGGCAGCAGUAGGGAAUCUUCCGCAAUGGGCGAAAGCCUGACGGAGCAACGCCGCGUGAGUGAAGAAGGAUUUCGGUUCGUAAAGCUCUGUUGUUAGGGAAGAAUGGUUGUGUAGUAACUAUACACAGUAGAGACGGUACCUAACCAGAAAGCCACGGCUAACUACGUG